This is a non-coding RNA of Pelobates cultripes (western spadefoot toad), 90 nucleotides long. Lineage: Eukaryota; Metazoa; Chordata; Amphibia; Anura; Pelobatidae. The record is from the annotation of a GenBank genome assembly.
AGUCUGUAAACUCACAAUUUUUUGAGCCUAUUAAAAGUUGGCUCUAUAAGUUCAGAGCCAACUUUUAAUAGGCUCAAAAAAUUGUGAGUU